CUUCUAGUCUCCACAGGCACAUGUGGCAUACAUACAUACGGACAUUCACAUAUAUAAAAUUAAAAAUAAUCUUAAAAAACUGAGACCAAUUUUGCUUCCAGUCAAGCUUUUUAGUUUGAGUAACCUCUGACAUAGCCUGGGAAUGACGUGGUGUAUAGCAACCUGAGUGAUUCCAGCCUGUGACUGUUAGGAAAUAAGCACAUUAAAUAAUUGUCACCCAUUCAUUCAUCAUUAAAACAUAUAGGAAAAUACCAUGGGCCCAUCUGUAGUAACCAUUCUUAGAAGACUAUUGAUUCUCUCGCUACCUGAGUUGUGAAAAGAUGAGUUAUUCCAAGUCAGGGGUGGUAUAGUGAUAGAAGCUUUUGGAGACUCUGUAGGAAUCAUGUGGUGGGGGGUGGGGUCCCAGCUAUCACCCAGAGUGUCACAGUGACAAGUAACAGAGUGUGUUUUAGGAUAGGAAAUCAGAAUGUAUUCCUAUCUGCAAGUUUCAUAAAAAGCCAAGGUGGUGUAGGACAAGGUACUUAGAAAAGCAAGCCUUGCGUUCUUUCACUGACAAUAUCAGUAUCAGUAGUCUAAUAAGUAGGUAUCAGACUACUUGAUACCUUAAACUUUUUGCAUGAAAGCAUCUUGUUUUGGUAUGAAAAUGAGAGUUUGAGACUAGAGUGUGAUUCUCCUAACUUAGUAGUUGAGAAAAGGGACCCUAUGGUGAGACAAAUCCUAGUCGAAAUCUGCUGUCAUUUUUGAGCAGUAGAAUGUGAUCAGCUGCCUGCUUUGGUUUUUCUGUAAAGUAGGAAUGAUGUAAUGAUACCUGCUUUGUAGACCUAUGUAAAAGAACAGGGAAAUACAGAGUAAAUGUCACAGAACUUGGCUCAGUACGUGACCAGUGAAUUGACUAUUAUUUUGAUAAGCUAAGAAGACGACUGGGUAGAAGAGUUGGAAUCCUGGCAGGGAAGGAAUGGAAGCAGUGGUCCCAGUGAGGAUGCAUGCCCCUGACCAGCAUGGUGAUGGUGAAACCCCAGACGAGCUAAGAAAAUGUGGAAGGAUAUGCAGCUGACAAAAUCUACAUUUGGGUCUGCUCUGGUGCCUUCCUGAUGCCUAUUUUUGGAAAACAGCUGGAGGAGAUUAUUGACUUAUGAAGGGAUGCAGAUGCGGAUGAUCGUCUAGGAGAGCUGGUUGUGGAAAGCAUAAAA
Long non-coding RNA from Mastomys coucha (southern multimammate mouse), 1190 nucleotides. RefSeq lists it as uncharacterized. The record is from RefSeq and is a predicted model, not a curated record. The transcript has 2 exons. Lineage: Eukaryota; Metazoa; Chordata; Mammalia; Rodentia; Muridae.